UGCAUCCAAAGAGCAAGGGGGCGAUGGGAACGCGUUCGUGGAGGCGGGCGAGGGGGUUGGCGGAGUGGAUGUCGUGGUCGCAGGGGAUGCAGAGGGAAGAAGCGCCUGCCUUGCAGGUGACGGAGGUCGGAGCUUGCUCGCAGACCUAGCAGAGGGGGACGCACGGGUGGCAGGAGGCAAGGUUGUUGGCGGCGUGGAUGGUGGAGUCGCAGGGAAAGCAGAGGAACGCCGGGUCGGCGCGGCAGAACAGGGUGGUAGGGAUUUGAUGUGAUUUAGGGGUUUU
RNAcentral lists this long non-coding RNA (283 nucleotides) under Lotus japonicus. RNAcentral's name for it is "long non-coding RNA (LJAP_LNC000099)". The record is from RNAcentral. Lineage: Eukaryota; Viridiplantae; Streptophyta; Magnoliopsida; Fabales; Fabaceae.